This 74-nucleotide transfer RNA is filed under the name Nanobdellota archaeon. RNAcentral's name for it is "tRNA-Thr". It matches the Rfam family "tRNA". Rfam says of the family: Transfer RNA (tRNA) molecules are approximately 80 nucleotides in length. The record is from RNAcentral. Lineage: Archaea; Nanobdellati; Nanobdellota.
GCUCAGAUAGCUCAGUUGGUUAGAGCGCGUCCUUGGUAAGGACGAGGUCCUGAGUUCAAUCCUCAGUCUGGGCU